RNAcentral lists this ribosomal RNA (466 nucleotides) under Bdellovibrio bacteriovorus. RNAcentral describes it as "bacterial SSU rRNA". It matches the Rfam family "Bacterial small subunit ribosomal RNA", at positions 531 to 995 of the family's 1533-position model. Lineage: Bacteria; Pseudomonadati; Bdellovibrionota; Bdellovibrionia; Bdellovibrionales; Pseudobdellovibrionaceae. The record is from RNAcentral.
GAUCCUAGCGUUGUUCGGAAUUAUUGGGCGUAAAGCGGAUGUAGGUGGCUUUGUAAGUCAGAUGUGAAAGCCCAGGGCUCAACCCCGGAAGUGCAUUUGAUACUGCGAAGCUUGAGUGUCGGAGAGGUUACUAGAAUUGUUGGUGUAGUGGUGAAAUACGUAGAUAUCAACAGGAAUACCGGAGGCGAAGGCGGGUAACUGGCCGAACACUGACACUGAGAUCCGAAAGCGUGGGGAUCAAACAGGAUUAGAUACCCUGGUAGUCCACGCCGUAAACGAUGGAUACUUGUUGUUGGAGGUAUUGACCCCUUCAGUGACGAAGCUAACGCGUUAAGUAUCCCGCCUGGGGAGUACGGUCGCAAGAUUAAAGCUCAAAGAAAUUGACGGGGGCCCGCACAAGCGGUGGAGCAUGUGGUUUAAUUCGAUGCAACGCGAAGAACCUUACCUAGGCUUGACAUGUACUGGA